This 373-nucleotide ribosomal RNA is filed under the name uncultured eukaryote. RNAcentral describes it as "partial 18S ribosomal RNA". It matches the Rfam family "Eukaryotic small subunit ribosomal RNA", at positions 592 to 976 of the family's 1831-position model. The record is from RNAcentral.
CAAUAGCGUAUAUUAAAGUUGUUGCAGUUAAAAAGCUCGUAGUUGAAUUUUUGCUUGCCGCCGAUGUCGGAACUUCCGUACGUUCGGCGGCGUGCAUCCUUGGGUGGAACCUGUGUGGCAUUAGGUUGUCGUGCAGGGGAUGCUCAUCGUUUACUGUGAAAAAAUUAGAGUGUUCAAAGCAGGCUUACGCCGUUGAAUAUAUUAGCAUGGAAUAAUAAGAUAGGACCUUGGUACUAUUUUGUUGGUUUGCGCACCGAGGUAAUGAUUAACAGGGACAGUUGGGGGUAUUCGUAUCCCAUUGUCAGAGGUGAAAUUCUUGGAUUUCUGGAAGACGAACUACUGCGAAAGCAUUUACCAAGGAUGUUUNCAUUAA